RNAcentral lists this ribosomal RNA (256 nucleotides) under uncultured bacterium. Its description in RNAcentral is "partial 16S ribosomal RNA". It matches the Rfam family "Bacterial small subunit ribosomal RNA", at positions 524 to 776 of the family's 1533-position model. The record is from RNAcentral.
UACAUGGGGUGCAAACGUUGCUCGGAAUUAUUGGGCGUAAAGCGCACGUAGGCGGUUCGUUAAGUCGGAUGUGAAAGCCCUCGGCUCAACUGAGGAAGUGCACCCGAAACUGGCGAGCUUGAGUACGAAAGAGGAUCGCGGAAUUCCCGGUGUAGAGGUGAAAUUCGUAGAGAUCGGGAAGGAACACCAGUGGCGGAAGGCGGCUACCUGGACCAGCACUGACACGUGAGGCACGAAAGCGUGGGGAGCAAACAGG